This 392-nucleotide unclassified non-coding RNA is filed under the name Hevea brasiliensis (rubber tree). Lineage: Eukaryota; Viridiplantae; Streptophyta; Magnoliopsida; Malpighiales; Euphorbiaceae. The record is from RNAcentral.
GGUUAGUGCACCUCUCUCUCUAGCGCUCUCCUUACGUUUCGAUUUUCUGUUUGUUUCGCUUGGAAAUGUGGGUGAUGAAAAGGAAAAAAAAUUGCAACCUGUCAAGUUUUACCUAGCGUGUGCGCUAUAAUUCAAUGAUUUGUUGGUUGAAUGUGAUUUUCUCUUAUUUCUCUCUAUCUCGUUCUGUUCAGUCACAUCUCGCUUGGAUCUGUGAGAUUUUGAUCAACUAGGGUGGAUGUUCAUAGAAAGAGCUUUGAUUUUUUGCGAUAUGAGAUUUGUUUGGUUAAUGUGGGAAUUAGUAUUAUUUUAUUCUAAUUAUGCUGUUUAAUUAAGGUGCUUCUUAUGCGAAAUGUGUUAAUUAUUUUAAAACUCUCUCUCUCUCUCUCACUCUC